UGGUGGAGUGAUUUGUCUGGUUAAUUCCGUUAACGAACGAGACCUCGACCUGCUAAAUAGUUUCGAGGAACUCAACUGGGUUCCUGCAAACUUCUUAGAGGGACUAUCGCUUGCGUGUAGCCGAUGGAAGUUCGAGGCAAUAACA
This 145-nucleotide ribosomal RNA is filed under the name uncultured eukaryote. RNAcentral describes it as "partial 18S ribosomal RNA". It matches the Rfam family "Eukaryotic small subunit ribosomal RNA", at positions 1299 to 1458 of the family's 1831-position model. The record is from RNAcentral.